CGCAAUGUAUUUCUUAAAUCAGGACAAAUUUGGGAGAGUUAAGCAAGAACCUGAUGGAGCUUUGGAGAUGUCAAAAAGAGGGACGAAGAAUAUUGGCUCCAACAAAGGAAGAUAAGGGGGAGAAGACGACAGAGAUGAUAAUCUUUUACAAUACAUGAUGAGUAUGUAUAUUUAAUUCUUAUUAAUGGUAUACAAUUUGAAGAAACCAUUGAGUGACAUAAUAUUUACUUUAAUGAUGAUGUAUGUAGGCAACAUGAUACCAUGCUUGAACUUAACAAUAUGCUAAAUGAAACA
Zingiber officinale is the source of this 294-nucleotide long non-coding RNA. RefSeq lists it as uncharacterized. Lineage: Eukaryota; Viridiplantae; Streptophyta; Magnoliopsida; Zingiberales; Zingiberaceae. The transcript is spliced from 2 exons. The record is from RefSeq and is a predicted model, not a curated record.